RNAcentral lists this non-coding RNA (29 nucleotides) under Homo sapiens (human). The record is from RNAcentral. Lineage: Eukaryota; Metazoa; Chordata; Mammalia; Primates; Hominidae.
UGGAUGUGAGAAGGCCGAUUUGGACAGGG